AGAAUCAACGCUGGCGGCGUGCCUAACACAUGCAAGUCGAACGAGAAAGGGUAGCAAUACCUGAGUAAAGUGGCGCACGGGUGAGUAACACGUGACUAACCUACCCUGGAGUGGGGGAUAACUGAGGGAAACCUUAGCUAAUACCGCAUAAUACCUACGGGUCAAAGGAGCAAUUCGCUUCAGGAGGGGGUCGCGGCCGAUUAGUUAGUUGGCGGGGUAAUGGCCCACCAAGACAGUGAUCGGUAUCCGGCCUGAGAGGGCGCACGGACACACUGGAACUGAAACACGGUCCAGACUCCUACGGGAGGCAGCAGUGGGGAAUUUUGCGCAAUGGGGGAACCCUGACGCAGCAACGCCGCGUGGAGGAUGAAGUCCUUCGGGACGUAAACUCCUUUCGAUCGGGACGAUAAUGACGGUACCGGAGAAGAGCCCGGCUAACUUCGCGCCAGCAGCCGC
This 456-nucleotide ribosomal RNA is filed under the name uncultured bacterium. RNAcentral's name for it is "SSU rRNA". It matches the Rfam family "Bacterial small subunit ribosomal RNA", at positions 26 to 518 of the family's 1533-position model. The record is from RNAcentral.